AUCUGGAGUCCGUUUUGGGCUCCGGAGAGGGGAAAUCGUCGCCAUCGUCAUCAUCAAUCUUCCUCCAUCGACAAUUCCAUGAUGCUCUUCAUCGUUCGUGAGUAAUCUCAUCAUAGGCUUGCUGGACGGUAAUGAGUUGGAUGAGGUCUAUCAUGUAAUCGAGUUAGUUUUCACGGGGAUUGAUCCCUAUUAUCCACUAUGUUCUAGAUUGAUGUUGCUACUACUUGGCUAUGCUUAAUGCUUGUCACUAGGGCCUGAGUACCAUGAUUUCAGAUCUGAACCUAUUAUGUUGUCGUCAAUAUAUGUGUGUUUUAAAUCCUAUCUUGCAAGUUGUAGUCACCUACUAUGUGUUAUGACCCGGCAACCCCUGAGUGACAAUAGCCGGAACCACUCCCGGAGAUGACCAUAGUAUGAGGAGUUCAUGUAUUCAUCAAGUGUUAAUGUGUUGGUCCGAUUCUUUAUUAAAAGGAGAACCUUAAUAUCCCGUAGUUUUCAUUAGGACCCCGCUGCCACGGGAGGGAUGGACAAUAGAUGUCAUGCAAGUUCUUUUUCCGAAGCACGUAUGACUACAUACGGAAUAAAUGCCUACAUUAGAUUGACGAACGGGAGUAAUUACAUAUCUCUCAGUGUUAUAGCUGUUGCAUGAUGAAUCACAUCCGUCAUACUCAUCCAUCACCGAUCCACUACCUACGAGUCUUUUACUACUGGUCCUUGCUAUGUUACUUUGUCUACGCUUGUCCCUUGCUACAAAAGGGAUUGGGUCACUUUGCUACUACUGUUCCUACUACUGUUACUC
This 796-nucleotide long non-coding RNA is filed under the name Hordeum vulgare. RNAcentral's name for it is "long non-coding RNA (HVUL_LNC018011)". Lineage: Eukaryota; Viridiplantae; Streptophyta; Magnoliopsida; Poales; Poaceae. The record is from RNAcentral.